UACGUAGGGUGCAAGCGUUAAUCGGAAUUACUGGGCGUAAAGCGUGCGCAGGCGGUGAUGUAAGCCAGAUGUGAAAGCCCCGGGCUCAACCUGGGAACUGCAUUUGUGACUGCAAGGCUAGAGUACGGUAGAGGGGGAUGGAAUUCCGCGUGUAGCAGUGAAAUGCGUAGAUAUGCGGAGGAACACCGAUGGCGAAGGCAAUCCCCUGGACCUGUACUGACGCUCAUGCACGAAAGCGUGGGGAGCAAACAGG
RNAcentral lists this ribosomal RNA (253 nucleotides) under uncultured bacterium. Its description in RNAcentral is "partial 16S ribosomal RNA". It matches the Rfam family "Bacterial small subunit ribosomal RNA", at positions 524 to 776 of the family's 1533-position model. The record is from RNAcentral.